This 470-nucleotide ribosomal RNA is filed under the name Centipeda noxia. Its description in RNAcentral is "bacterial SSU rRNA". It matches the Rfam family "Bacterial small subunit ribosomal RNA", at positions 28 to 471 of the family's 1533-position model. The record is from RNAcentral. Lineage: Bacteria; Bacillati; Bacillota; Negativicutes; Selenomonadales; Selenomonadaceae.
GACGAACGCGGCGGCGUGCUUAACACAUGCAAGUCGAACGGAGCGAAUGAAAGCUUGCUUUUAUAAGCUUAGUGGCAAACGGGUGAGUAACACGUAGACAACCUGCCGACAGGAUGGGGACAACAUUCCGAAAGGAAUGCUAAUACCGAAUGAAGUGCAGGGGAGGCAUCUCCCCUGCAUGAAAGAUGGCCUCUAUAUAUAUGCUAUCACCUGUUGAUGGGUCUGCGUCUGAUUAGCUGGUAGGUGAGGUAACGGCUCACCUAGGCGACGAUCAGUAGCCGGUCUGAGAGGAUGAACGGCCACAUUGGGACUGAGACACGGCCCAGACUCCUACGGGAGGCAGCAGUGGGGAAUCUUCCGCAAUGGGCGCAAGCCUGACGGAGCAACGCCGCGUGAGUGAAGAAGGUCUUCGGAUCGUAAAGCUCUGUGAUGGGGACGAACGUGCCUAAUGCGAAAUAGUUUAGGCCAAG